This 243-nucleotide ribosomal RNA is filed under the name uncultured bacterium. Its description in RNAcentral is "partial 16S ribosomal RNA". It matches the Rfam family "Bacterial small subunit ribosomal RNA", at positions 1249 to 1500 of the family's 1533-position model. The record is from RNAcentral.
GCUAGCCAGUGAUGGCAUGCGAAUCUCGAAAGCCUAUCUCAGUUCGGAUUGGAGGCUGAAACCCGCCUCCAUGAAGUUGGAUUCGCUAGUAAUCGCGCAUCAGCCAUGGCGCGGUGAAUACGUUCCCGGGCCUUGUACACACCGCCCGUCAAGCCAUGGGAGCCGGGGGUGCCUGAAGUUCGUUACCGCAAGGAUCGACCUAGGGCAAAACUGGUGACUGGGGCUAAGUCGUAACAAGGUAGC